CGAACGCUGGCGGCGUGCCUAAUACAUAGCAAGUCGAGCGCGGGAAGUGGACAAUCACCCUUCGGGGUGUGCGUCCGUGGAACGAGCGGCGGAUGGGUGAGUAUCACGUGGGCAACCUGCCUGUAAGAUUGGGAUAACUCGCGGAAACGUGAGCUAAUACCGAAUGAAGUCUUUCACCGCCUAGGUGAAAGGAUGAAAGAUGGCUCUUGAGCUAUCACUUACAGAUGGGCCCGCGGCGCAUUAGCUAGUUGGUGGGGUAAAGGCCUACCAAGGCGACGAUGCGUAGCCGACCUGAGAGGGUGAUCGGCCACACUGGGACUGAGACACGGCCCAGACUCCUACGGGAGGCAGCAGUAGGGAAUCUUCCGCAAUGGACGAAAGUCUGACGGAGCAACGCCGCGUGAGUUGAUGAAGGUCUUCGGAUCGUAAAACUCUGUUGUCAGGGAAGAACAAGUUGUGUUCUAACAGGACAUGACCUUGACGGUACCUGACCAGAAAGCCCCGGCUAACUACGUGCCAGCAGCCGC
This 527-nucleotide ribosomal RNA is filed under the name uncultured bacterium. RNAcentral's name for it is "bacterial SSU rRNA". It matches the Rfam family "Bacterial small subunit ribosomal RNA", at positions 30 to 518 of the family's 1533-position model. The record is from RNAcentral.